This 2031-nucleotide long non-coding RNA is filed under the name Vigna radiata. RNAcentral describes it as "long non-coding RNA (VRAD_LNC008463)". The record is from RNAcentral. Lineage: Eukaryota; Viridiplantae; Streptophyta; Magnoliopsida; Fabales; Fabaceae.
GGGAUGUACAGUAAUGACAUGAACUGGUGAGUAAUCUCUUGAUUUUGCAAUACCACCUAGGGAUAGGGGUAGGACGAUCAAUUGCGCUAACUUCUGUUUAUAAUGCGGUAUUAAUUACUAGGGGAGGCUUGGGAUAGCAAGCCAGUAGUUAAUAUUAGGCCCUUUUUCGCUGAGGGAUCGGGUUAAGGGGAGGCUAAGAAAGUCGCAGAACAAUUAAAUCAAUCAAACUAAUAUUCAAGGGUAGUAUGUAAGAGAGAGUGGAAUAGAUGAAAUUGUAAACUCCCAACAACAUCCAUUCAUCCAUUCUUUUCGUUUGUCAAUUGAAUCAACUUUAUUUUUUCAUGUUAAUAUUUUUGUUCUCAAAUCCAAUUUAUUAAUUUUUAUUUUCAAGUCUUAUUAUUUUAAUUCACGUGAACGAGAAAACCUUUCGAGUCUCUUGGGAAAACGAUACUUGGUCUUACCAUUUAUGUUACUUGUACGAUUUGGUACGCUUGCCAAUUUGUCAGCAAGUUUUUGGCGUCGUUGCCGGGGACUCGAGGUUUAUUUUUCUAGUAGUGUGGAUUGAUUGAAUUUGACUUGACUUUAUGUUUAUUUUUUUUUAUUUUUGUUCUAAUAAAUUUUUUCUAGGGUUUUGUGCCUAAUUUUUGCAGAAUGCAGUUUGGACAAGAAUUUGAUUCUAUAGGCACUCAAUUCCACCAAAAUGAUUUCAACCACUGGUGGGAACCUCAUUCAAAUAUAUAUCGAAGCCACUUAGGGCAUCAAUCCUCUUCGCGAAAAGAAACGUUAGGGGAAGCUAAAGAACGUUUACAAUAGGAACUAUUCUCUGUCCCAAAAGAAACAUUGGGGGAAGUUCAACAAUUCUUGCGACAACAUUUAUUUUUUGUACCAAAAGAGACGUUGGGGGAAGCCCGACAUCGUUUACAACAAAAUCAAUCUCCUGUACGCAAAGAAACAUUGGGAGAAGCACAAGCACAUUUAUUGCAGGAACAACACUCUCAUGCCCUGAAGGCUUUAGGCAUUAUUAAGGCUGAUACUGAAGUCAACCCUAAAGAAGAAUGUCAAGCCACUAUCUCUGCACAUGAUAAGGUUCUCAAUGAGGAAAAGAAAGAAGAAGACGAGCUAGAGAUGUUGGAAGAGGAAACAAAAACAGAAGAAGUUGUUGUUGAGAAAAAUAUAGAGGAGAUAGAAAUAAAAAAUGUGAAUGAGAGUGAGAAGAAAGAUGAGGAAGGAAAAGCCAUGGUUGAGAAUAAAAGAAAAAAAAAGAAAAAAUUAAGAUAAAGAAAGGGAGAAAAAAGAAAAAGAGAAGGUCAAGAAAAGAGAAAAAUAGGAAAGUUGAGGAGAGGGAAGAAAAGGAAGAGAGGUAAAAAGAAAAGAUCUUGUGAAAAACCCCUGCCUCAUAAAAAGAAAUAUCAUAGCAAGGAAAAUAAAUUUUUGAGCUUUAUGGAGAUCUUCAAGAAAUUAGAGAUUAAAGUUCCUAUGAUUGAAACAUGGAAACAGGUGCUUGGUGUUCUUAAUUUUAUGAAGAAAUUCAGCUGGAAGAAGAAAAAGAAAAGAAUAUCAAGAAAGGGGAGUAUCAACACCUACUGAUGGGUGUUUGAUUUUAUUUUAUUUUAUUUUAUUUUAUGUGAUUUGAUUUGAUUUGAUUUGGUUUUAUUUUGUUUUAUCUUAUUUGAUUUGAUUUUAUUUUAUUUUAUUUUACUUUAUUUUAUUUUAUUUUAUUUUAUUUUUAUUUGUUUUUUUUAUUUAUAUUUUAUUUUAUUUUUUUUGGGUUGUGCUGUUUCUGAUGGCAGUGAUGAUAACAUCUACUAAUGGAUGUUAGGUGAUAUGGCAUUUACUGAUGGAUGCAAAUGAAGAUUAGAAAGAUUAGCGUUUACUGAUAAUUCCUACUAGGAUAGCAUCUACUGAGGGAUGCUAGAAGAUUUAGGUAUCUACUGAAGGAUACAUGGAGGUACACCUACUGAUGGGUGUUGGGAAGGAAGUGCACUUAUUGACAAGUGCCAACCAGGUUUGGGUCAGGCUCGUGACGUUAAA